Molecule: ribosomal RNA, 309 nt
Filed under: uncultured fungus
Lineage: Eukaryota; Fungi
Description: SSU rRNA
Rfam family: Eukaryotic small subunit ribosomal RNA
Source: RNAcentral
AAAGAUUAAGCCAUGCAUGUCUAAGUAUAAGCAAUUAUACCGCGAAACUGCGAAUGGCUCAUUAAAUCAGUUAUCGUUUAUUUGAUAGUACCUUACUACAUGGAUAACCGUGGUAAUUCUAGAGCUAAUACAUGCUGAAAAUCCCGACUUCGGAAGGGAUGUGUUUAUUAGAUAAAAAACCAAUGCCCUUCGGGGCUCUUUGGUGAUUCAUGAUAACUUUACGGAUCGCAUAGCCUUGCGCCGGCGAUGGUUCAUUCAAAUUUCUGCCCUAUCAACUUUCGAUGGUAGGAUAGUGGCCUACCAUGGUUU